RNAcentral lists this ribosomal RNA (433 nucleotides) under uncultured bacterium. RNAcentral describes it as "partial 16S ribosomal RNA". It matches the Rfam family "Bacterial small subunit ribosomal RNA", at positions 29 to 507 of the family's 1533-position model. The record is from RNAcentral.
AGCGAACGCUGGCGGCAGGCCUAACACAUGCAAGUCGAACGAACUCUUCGGAGUUAGUGGCGGACGGGUGAGUAACACGUGGGAACGUGCCUUUAGGUUCGGAAUAACUCAGGGAAACUUGUGCUAAUACCGAAUGUGCCCUUCGGGGGAAAGAUUUAUCGCCUUUAGAGCGGCCCGCGUCUGAUUAGCUAGUUGGUGAGGUAAAGGCUCACCAAGGCGACGAUCAGUAGCUGGUCUGAGAGGAUGAUCAGCCACAUUGGGACUGAGACACGGCCCAAACUCCCACGGGAGGCAGCAGUGGGGAAUCUUGCGCAAUGGGCGAAAGCCUGACGCAGCCAUGCCGCGUGAAUGAUGAAGGUCUUAGGAUUGUAAAAUUCUUUCACCGGGGACGAUAAUGACGGUACCCGGAGAAGAAGCCCCGGCUAACUUCGUG